UGUAAAGUUCAAGCUCCGAUUAUGAGGGCGAAACCGCGAAUGGCUCAUUAAAUCAGUCAUAAUCUACUUGAUUGUUUCAAGUUUAUAUGGAUAACUGUGGUAAUUCUAGAGCUAAUACAUGCACAAAUGGGGCGACUUCUGCAAGGAAGAAGCUCUGCGUUUAUUAGACUAAGACCGGCUGGGCCUCGCGUCCAACUUUGUUAAGGUGACUCUGAGUAAAUAAUGGGUGAAAGCCCAUGUUGCUGACCUGACACACCAAAAGGGCCCUCAAAAGCUCUGUCAGGCAAAUCAAUCGAGUGUCUGCUCUAUCAACUGUGGAUGGUAGGAUAAUUGCCUACCAUGGUGAUGACGGGUAACGGGGAGUUAGGGCUCGACUCCGGAGAACAAGCCUGAGAAACGGCUAGUAGGACUAAGGUCUGCAGCAGGCGCGAAACUUACACAAUGCUAGAUUAGAAUUAGCGAUGUAGUGAAGAAAAAUAACGAUGUACUUCCAUUUAAACAUGGUAGUACAAUUGGAAUGAGACGACUAUAAACCAGUUAGUCGAGUAACAAAUGGAGGGCAAGUCUGGUGCCAGCAGCCGCGGUAAUUCCAGCUCCAUUAGCAUACAUUAAAGUUGUUGCGGUUAAAAAGCUCGUAGUUGAAUUUCUAGUGGGUUCUAUUGGGGUGCAACCGUUAAGGUUGGCAGCUCGGACGCAAGUCCGUCUCCAACUGGUUGUCAUCUUCCAUUAGGAGCCCACUGUUUCGUCACUUAAUCGAGUGCGAAGCAGGCUGGGACAAGGGUUCACCUCUCCGGAGGUGCCCUGUUACAGCAAGUUUACCUUGAGAAAAUUAGAGUGCUCACAGCAGGCAGUUGGGAGGUAAAAGUCCCUUUAUGCUUGAAUAAUGUUGCAUGGAAUAAUAGAAUACGGCCUCGGUUCUAUUCUGUUGGUCUUAUAGAACAACAAACAAGUUGGUUAGGGCGAUCAAAAGUCCUUUUGGAGUGUGGUCGAGCGUUGCUUGUUUGGAGUUGCAUGCAUGCACUAGCGUGUUGUCUGGAGCCUUAAAAUUCCAGUACCGCCUAGUCGUCUUACAACUGCCUACUUGGAGCCUCAACCAUCAAAAGCACUCCUCAAGUGGCUAGCUCUUCAACCAACUGAGGCAAUGGUUAAAAGAAAUAGUCGCGGCGGCAUCAGUACUGCAUCGUGAGAGGUGAAAUUCUUAGACCGAUGCAAGACUAACUGAAGCGAAAGCGUUUGCCGAGGAUAUUUUCAUUAAUCAAGAACGAAAGUUAGAGGUUCGAAGGCGAUCAGAUACCGCCCUAGUUCUAACCAUAAACGUUGCCAACUAGCAAUUGGGUUGCGAUUCCUUUAAUCGAAGCUUAAAACCUUCGAUCAUUAUGAUCCACCCAGCGGCUCUCGUAGGGAAACCAAAGUGUUUGGGUUCCGGGGGAAGUAUGAUUGCAAAGUUGAAACUUAAAGGAAUUGACGGAAGGGCACCACCAGGAGUGGAGCCUGCGGCUUAAUUUGACUCAACACGGGGAAACUUACUAGAUUAAAACUCUGGAAUGAUUGACAGAUUGAUAGCUCUUUCUUGAUUCAGAGGAUGGUGGUGCAUGGCCGUUCUUGAUUCGUAUUCCGAAACGUCUGCUUAAUUGCGAUAACGAGUGAGACCUCAUCCAACUAACUAGUCGCUUGGUGCGCUAAGGACGCUCAAGUUUUUGGCGGAUGCUUCGUAGUGAGGUAGCAAUGCCGAGCUGCGUUCGCCGUCAGAAAUGUCCUCUGCUCGCCAGCGGACUUCUUAGAGGGAUAAACGGUGUUUUAGCCGUAAGAAACGAGGCAAUAACAGGUCUGUGAUGCCCUUAGAUAUUCUAGGCCGCACGCGUGCUACAAUGGCGUGUGCAGAAAGCUUGUUCGAGGUUCGUCCAGGGAGAACUAGUCGCUUGGUUGUGCUUGUGAGUAGCAAUACAAGCUUGCAUGAUCGGCGGCCAAGUGACCCUGGUUCUAACGAGCCGAGAGAAACCGCAGUCGAAAGAUUGCGGCAAUCAAAAAUACACGCCGUGAUUUGGGAUUGGGGAUUGCAAUUGUUGCCCAUGAACGAGGAAUUCCCAGUAAGCGCAAUUCAUCAUAUUGCGUUGAUUACGUCCCUGCCCUUUGUACACACCGCCCGUCGCUACUACCGAUUGGAAGUUUUAGUGAGGCAUUUGGACCUGCUGUCUCAAGGAAGGGGCAACUCUUCCGUGACGGCGGGGAAGUCUGUCGAACUCAAAUUUCUAGAGGAAGUAAAAGUCGUAACAAGGUUUCCGU
This 2283-nucleotide ribosomal RNA is filed under the name Paraepitrimerus stellarus. RNAcentral's name for it is "partial small subunit ribosomal RNA". It matches the Rfam family "Eukaryotic small subunit ribosomal RNA". Lineage: Eukaryota; Metazoa; Arthropoda; Arachnida; Trombidiformes; Eriophyidae. The record is from RNAcentral.